RNAcentral lists this ribosomal RNA (673 nucleotides) under uncultured fungus. RNAcentral describes it as "eukaryotic LSU rRNA". The stretch from base 239 to 381 matches the Rfam family "5.8S ribosomal RNA". Lineage: Eukaryota; Fungi. The record is from RNAcentral.
CUUGGUCAUUUAGAGGAAGUAAAAGUCGUAACAAGGUAACCGUAGGUGAACCUGCGGUUGGAUCAUUACUGAUUAACCUCUCUAGGCGUUGAUACCGCAAGGAGUCCGCCUAGAGAACUUACCCCUGUGCACCAUUAUGUUUUUUGGGUCAUGCGGGUCAGGUAGAAUUUCUAUCAAGGCCGGUGGCCCAGUUGUAAAGACCAUAUCAUUUGUCUGAAAUCUCUAUGAAAAUAGAAACAACUUUUGACAACGGAUCUCUUGGCUCUCGCAACGAUGAAGAACGCAGCGAAAUGCGAUACGUAAUGUGAAUUGCUUUCCGUGAAUCAUCAAAUCUUUGAACGCAUAUUGCACUCCUUUUGGAGUAUGCCUAUUUGAGAAUCUACAGUAUUCAUUUCUGCCGUUUUUCGAUCCGGUAGGAGAUAUGAGGUUUCCCUUUUUGAAGGGUGCCUUCAAACAGAUCACUUGCUCAGGACAUCAGAUGUUUGAAGUUCUUUAAAACCCUGCAGAAACGUAUGUGACUGAAACUUUGUUUCUCAUAAUGCAGACUAUGCAGAGCAAAGGACCGAGUCUUUUGUCCCGAUCGAGUUCAAAACCAUAAAGACUUUGUCUUGAACAAUGGUCUCAAAUUAGGUAGGAAGACCCGCUGAACUUAAGCAUAUCAAUAAGCGGAGGA